This 355-nucleotide unclassified non-coding RNA is filed under the name soil metagenome. RNAcentral describes it as "partial contains 5.8S ribosomal RNA, internal transcribed spacer 2, and large subunit ribosomal RNA". The stretch from base 1 to 120 matches the Rfam family "5.8S ribosomal RNA", at positions 35 to 154 of the family's 154-position model. The record is from RNAcentral.
GAUGAAGAACGCAGCGAAAUGCGAUACGUAAUGUGAAUUGCAGAAUUCAGUGAAUCAUCGAGUCUUUGAACGCACAUUGCGCCCCCUGGUAUUCCGGGGGGCAUGCCUGUCCGAGCGUCAUUGCUGCCCUCAAGCACGGCUUGUGUGUUGGGCGCUGUCCCCCCGGGGACACGCCCCAAAGGCAGUGGCGGCGCCGCGUCGGGUCCUCGAGCGUAUGGGGCUUUGUCACCCGCUCGGGACGGACUCGUCGGCGCUGGUCUUCCUCCAGGCGACCCUUCGGGGCUCGUCUUCCUUCGGUUGACCUCGGAUCAGGUAGGGUUACCCGCUGAACUUAAGCAUAUCAAUAAGCGGAGGA